UGAGGAAUUUUGCGCAAUGGGAGCAAUCCUGACGCAGCAACGCCGCGUGGGUGAUGAAGGCCUUCGGGUCGUAAAGCCCUGUCAGGUGGGAAGAAUGUCCUGGAAUUGAACAGGUUUCGGGAGUGACGGUACCACCAGAGGAAGCACCGGCUAACUCCGUGCCAGCAGCCGCGGUAAUACGGAGGGUGCAAGCGUUAUUCGGAAUUACUGGGCGUAAAGCGCGUGUAGGCGGUCCGGCAAGUCUGAUGUGAAAGCCCCGGGCUUAACCCGGGAAGUGCAUUGGAAACUGCAGGUCUGGAGUACUGGAGAGGAGGGGGGAAUUCCCGGUGUAGAGGUGAAAUUCGUAGAGAUCGGGAGGAAUAUCAGUGGCGAAGGCGCCCAUCUGGACGGUAACUGACGCUGAGACGCGAAAGCGUGGGGAGCAAACA
Molecule: ribosomal RNA, 428 nt
Filed under: uncultured prokaryote
Description: bacterial SSU rRNA
Rfam family: Bacterial small subunit ribosomal RNA
Source: RNAcentral